AUUGAACGCUGGCGGCAGGCCUAACACAUGCAAGUCGAACGAGUGGCGGACGGGUGAGUAAUGUCUGGGACACUGCCUGAUGGAGGGGGAUAACUAAUGGAAACGGUAGCUAAUACCGAAUACCAACAGCUGUGCGCAGAUGGGAUUGGCUAGUUGGUGGGGUAACGGCUCACCAAGGAGACGAUCCCUAGCUGGUCUGAGAGGAUGACCGGCCACACUGGAACUGAGACACGGUCCAGACUCCUACGGGAGGCAGCAGUGGGGAAUCUUGCACAAUGGGCGCAAGCCUGAUGCAGCCAUGCCGCGUGUAUGAAGAAGGCCUUCGGGUUGUAAAGUACUUUCAUCGGGGAGGCGUUACCCGCAGAAGAAGCACCGGCUAACUCCGUGCCAGCAGCCGCGGUAAUAC
Molecule: ribosomal RNA, 406 nt
Filed under: uncultured bacterium
Lineage: Bacteria
Description: partial 16S ribosomal RNA
Rfam family: Bacterial small subunit ribosomal RNA
Source: RNAcentral